This 607-nucleotide ribosomal RNA is filed under the name uncultured bacterium. Its description in RNAcentral is "bacterial SSU rRNA". It matches the Rfam family "Bacterial small subunit ribosomal RNA", at positions 26 to 651 of the family's 1533-position model. The record is from RNAcentral.
AGGACGAACGCUGGCGGCGUGCCUAACACAUGCAAGUCGAACGAGGUCGCCUUCGGGCAAUGACCAAGUGGCGAACGGGUGCGUAACACGUGAGGAACCUGCCCCGAAGACUGGGACAACCACGGGAAACUGUGGCUAAUACCAGAUGCCCUCCGCUGAUCGCAUGAUCGGCAGAGGAAAUGCUCCGGCGCUUCGGGAGGGCCUCGCGGCCUAUCAGCUUGUUGGCGAGGUAACGGCUCACCAAGGCAUCGACGGGUAGCUGGUCUGAGAGGACGAUCAGCCACACUGGGACUGAGACACGGCCCAGACUCCUGCGGGAGGCAGCAGUGGGGAAUCUUGCGCAAUGGGCGAAAGCCUGACGCAGCAACGCCGCGUGGGGGAUGAAGGCUCUCGGGUUGUAAACCCCUUUCAGCAGGGACGAAAUUGACGGUACCUGAAGAAGAAGCCCCGGCCAACUACGUGCCAGCAGCCGCGGUGACACGUAGGGGGCGAGCGUUGUCCGGAAUUAUUGGGCGUAAAGAGCUCGUAGGCGGUUUAGUAAGUCAGAUGUGAAAGGUUGGGGCUCAACCCUAAGACUGCAUCCGAUACUGCUAUGACUAGAGUCCGG